Molecule: ribosomal RNA, 497 nt
Filed under: uncultured bacterium
Lineage: Bacteria
Description: partial 16S ribosomal RNA
Rfam family: Bacterial small subunit ribosomal RNA
Source: RNAcentral
GAUGAACGCUGGCGGCGUGCCUAAUACAUGCAAGUCGAGCGAACGGACGAGAAUCUUGCUUCUCUGAUGUUAGCGGCGGACGGGUGAGUAACACGUGGAUAACCUACCUAUAAGACUGGGAUAACUUCGGGAAACCGUAGCUAAUACCGGAUAAUAUUUUGAACCGCAUGGUUCAAAAGUGAAAGACGGUCUUGCUGUCACUUAUAGAUGGAUCCGCGCUGCAUUAGCUAGUUGGUAAGGUAACGGCUUACCAAGGCAACGAUGCAUAGCCGACCUGAGAGGGUGAUCGGCCACACUGGAACUGAGACACGGUCCAGACUCCUACGGGAGGCAGCAGUAGGGAAUCUGCCGCAAUGGGCGAAAGCCUGACGGAGCAACGCCGCGUGAGUGAUGAAGGUCUUCGGAUCGUAAAACUCUGUUAUUAGGGAAGAACAUAUGUGUAAGUAACUGUGCACAUCGUGACGGUACCUAAUCAGAAAGCCACGGCUAACUACGUG